Molecule: long non-coding RNA, 1200 nt
Filed under: Strigops habroptila (Kakapo)
Lineage: Eukaryota; Metazoa; Chordata; Aves; Psittaciformes; Psittacidae
Description: lncRNA (ENSSHBG00005007276.1)
Source: RNAcentral
GGUUUAUAGUUCAAACAAAACUAACAUAGAAGAUUAAGUAUGUACAUGUGUAUGGUGUGAAUUCAUACUUAUUUAAAGUGGUUUUCUUUUUUUUUUUCUUUUAAACCCAACACAUUUUCCAUUUGCAUUAGCAUGAUGCCAUCUCUAGCUAGUCCCACCGUAGGGGCCUUUUAAAAUUAAAACUGCAAGCCUGUAUCAGUGUGUUCAUCAUCAUUUUCCAUUAUUUAAACUUUUAAAUCUUUGGUGUUUAACAUACCCUCUUGACUUUUUUUUUAAUAGUGGUUAUGACGUAUUAAAUGGUAGAAGUUGGAUAUGUGAGAAGAUUGAUCGCAAUAGAAACCAAGGUGUUCAAGCUUCUUGCUCCUUAAAAUAAUCAUCUUACUCAUGUAAAAGUUGAGAACAGGAAAGAUUCCUUGUUAGUGUUUUGCUGUAAAAAGAAAAUUGUCUUCUGUUGGGCCUACAAGGAUGGAUACUUGUCCUCAGGGAGGAAUGAAUUUGGUUUCCUCCUUCCACACGAGAUCUGUGUUCACCUAUAAUCAUGCUCUUUAGAAUAGAGCCAAGACAGUGGCGUAGGUGAAGACUUAGUUGCUCCAAGGGGAGUGAAGUUUGUCUGUCACUUGGCAGUGGUAUUACUAUACUUGUUAGGUUAAAAUUAAACCAUUAAGGUCUCUUAGUGCAGUUUUUCCUGUCUCUUUUGCAUAAGCCAUACAAGCAAAAUAGUGAACAUUGCUAUGCACAUUCCCUGCUUGUAAGCAGCUGGCAUUCACACUGUAAUAUCUUUGUGUCUGUUCCACUGUUUGUUUGUUGUUUUGGAUUUGUUUGUUUUGUUGGUUCUAAGUUUAUUUUUUCUAAUUGAUCACCUUCCAUUGGACAUAAAUAUGUACUGAGGUGGAGAUCUGUUCAUGCUCUCUCAUGAUACUUUAAUCCUUGUUUAUAUUUAUUUUUCCUUAUAUGCAAGAAGUGGGAAUAGUUGCUUUUUGACUUUCUAUACCACCACAGCAAGAUAGACUGUAAUCGCUAGGGUGAUACAAGACUUAAAAAACCAUUCAGGAAGUGUCUGGGUGUCCUGCUUUAUGAAAGGAAUGAUACAACUUAAUGUGGUGUCAGUAAGUCUGUCUUUUAGUAAGGGAUAACAUUUGGGGUAAGCUGGCUUGUAACUGGCUGAAACCCUUUUUGUUGUAAUUAAAUGCAACUUGCUCC